CCACACUACCGAGCAAAACAGAGAAUUUCUUUAAGAAACAGAUUCUAUGCAGAAAACUAGUCAGAGGGUUUGAUGCUAGACUGUACUACCUUGGUCAGGUGCUUUGCUGCAUAGGUUCGCAGCCCGAAGUCAAAGGAGGACAGAAUCUCAUUUGCCUGUUUAUAAAAGGAAGUGUCAAAACCAACACAAAAAUAGAAUGUUGUAUCAUCUUCUUAGCAAUGUUGUUUGAUCUGAAGUUUGAAAGAAUGGUACCUCAAUCAGUGUAACUUUAAUGUCGUCUUUAAUGUGAGCAUAGCGAUCUUGAACAUCCCUUAUGAUGAAAUCGCUCAAUUCGCCGCUAAACUCAACGCCUGUCGGUCCGCCUCCAAUCACCACGCAGUGGAGAAGGCGUUUCUUUUCUUCUUCUGAUAGACCUGCAGUAUACGCAUGGGGACUUCUGAUGACAAGGAGGGCCGAGCUAACCUGGAUUUUCAGAGAGCAUUAGAUUUAAAAGAAGCUUUUUCCUAAUUUCUUGAGCAUGAUUUACUUCACGGAGGAAAAAGGCGUGUUCUUUGACUCCCUUGACACCAAAAGUCAAGGGCUCAGAUCCAACAGCAAUCACAAGCUUGUCAUAAGCAACUCUAAAUUGGUAAGUCUCGUGAGGGAGUUCACCAUAGUUAACAGUCUCACAGAACACCUGGUCAAAGAAUGAAAGAAACGAUUAUGUCAUUUUGGAAAUGAAAGAUAACAACACAGAUCCAUUCAGCAUUAAGUCAAAUGCUUUCAACUUUUGUUUUAUUUUUGAAAAUACAUAUUUCGGACUCCUAGAAUAGAAGUCAUCUAACCCUUCCUAGAAGCAACUAUUUCCGGAAAGGAAUCCAUUUUAGUACUUAUAAGCGGUUGAUAACCCGUAACUCAGUAAAACAGAUAUUUUAUUCACAAUU
Cucumis sativus (cucumber) is the source of this 923-nucleotide long non-coding RNA. RefSeq lists it as uncharacterized. NCBI's taxonomy places the organism in Eukaryota, Viridiplantae, Streptophyta, Magnoliopsida, Cucurbitales, Cucurbitaceae. The record is from RefSeq and is a predicted model, not a curated record. The transcript is spliced from 2 exons.